CCCUUAGAUGUCCUGGGCCGCACGCGUGCUACACUGAUGCAUACAGCGAGUACUCCCAGCUCCGCGAGGCUGCUGGUAAUCAGCAAUAUGCAUCGUGAUGGGGAUAGAUCUUUGGAAUUAUAGAUCUUGAACGAGGAAUUCCUAGUAAACGCAAGUCAUCACCUUGCGUUGACUAAGUCCCUGCCCUUUGUACACACCGCCCGUCGCCCCUACCGAUUUCGAGUGAUCCGGUGAAUCAUUCGGACCGCGUGGGCUUGACCUAACGUGGAAAGUCUAGUAAACCAUAUCACUUAGAGGAAGGAGAAGUCGUAACA
RNAcentral lists this ribosomal RNA (314 nucleotides) under uncultured eukaryote. Its description in RNAcentral is "partial 18S ribosomal RNA". It matches the Rfam family "Eukaryotic small subunit ribosomal RNA", at positions 1470 to 1796 of the family's 1831-position model. The record is from RNAcentral.